AGCAGCCGCGGUAAUUCCAGCUCCAAUAGCGUAUAUUAAAGUUGUUGCAGUUAAAAAGCUCGUAGUUGAAUUUCGGGGUUAGCAAGUUGGUCGUGCCACUGGUAUGUACUGGCUUUGCUGAUUCCUCCUUCUUGUAGAACCGUAAUGCCAUUUAGUUGGUGUUGCGGGGAAACAGGACUGUUACUUUGAAAAAAUUAGAGUGUUUAAAGCAGGCUAACGCCUGAAUACAUUAGCAUGGAAUAAUGAAAUAGGACGAGCGAUCCUAUUUUGUUGGUUUCUAGGAUUGACGUAAUGAUUAAUAGGGAUAGUUGGGGGCAUUAGUAUUCAAUUGUCAGAGGUGAAAUUCUUGGAUUUAUUGAAGACUGACUACUGCGAAAGCAUUUGCCAAGGAUGUUUUCAUUAAUCAAGAACGAAAGUUAGGGGAUCGAAGACGAUCAGAUACCGUCGUAGUCUUAACCAUAAACUAUGCCGACUAGGGAUCGGAUGAUGUUAAUUUUUA
Molecule: ribosomal RNA, 499 nt
Filed under: uncultured Glomus
Lineage: Eukaryota; Fungi; Glomeromycota; Glomeromycetes; Glomerales; Glomeraceae
Description: SSU rRNA
Rfam family: Eukaryotic small subunit ribosomal RNA
Source: RNAcentral